Molecule: ribosomal RNA, 290 nt
Filed under: uncultured bacterium
Lineage: Bacteria
Description: partial 16S ribosomal RNA
Rfam family: Bacterial small subunit ribosomal RNA
Source: RNAcentral
GGAGCCUACGGGGGGCAGCAGUGGGGAAUAUUGCACAAUGGGGGGAACCCUGAUGCAGCGACGCCGCGUGAGUGAAGAAGUAUUUCGGCAUGUAAAGCUCUAUCAGCAGGGAAGAAGAUGACGGUACCUGACUAAGAAGCCCCGGCUAACUACGUGCCAGCAGCCGCGGUAAUACGUAGGGGGCAAGCGUUAUCCGGAUUUACUGGGUGUAAAGGGAGCGUAGACGGCAGGGCAAGUCUGGAGUGAAAGCCCGGGGCCCAACCCCGGGACUGCUUUGGAAACUGUAUGGC